UUAGAAACCUGGUCUAAAGUGGCUAGUAAAGACAAGACCUCUGUUGGGAGAAAAUCCAUUGCAGUUGGUCAUAACACUUUGAAAUUCUGCACUAAUCAGACCAGUCUUGAUCCCGUUGAGUGUAGUUGGUAUGCGCACAUGUAUUAUUAUCUUCCAUUUCUCAUGGAUGUUUUUAGCUUUUCAGCAGUUUGUUUGCUAAGCAGGCAUUUGCACAUUAGGUGGUGGUUCUAACGCUGAGUAGAGUAUAUUAAAACUCCCUUAAUGCAAUGAGUUUUCUUUCC
RNAcentral lists this long non-coding RNA (281 nucleotides) under Homo sapiens (human). RNAcentral's name for it is "HSALNT0045774". The record is from RNAcentral. Lineage: Eukaryota; Metazoa; Chordata; Mammalia; Primates; Hominidae.